Saccostrea echinata is the source of this 213-nucleotide long non-coding RNA. RefSeq lists it as uncharacterized. The transcript is spliced from 3 exons. The record is from RefSeq and is a predicted model, not a curated record. Lineage: Eukaryota; Metazoa; Mollusca; Bivalvia; Ostreida; Ostreidae.
CAGGAUAUUGCUUACAAUGUAAUCCGGGCUAUAAGGGUAGACAUUGCGAACAACAAUGUAAUAUGAGAAAAUAUGGAGAGUACUGUAAUCAGGAUUGUGGCGUUUGUCUGGAUUACAAACAAUGUGAUCACAUAAAUGGAACAUGCCCAGAUGGGUGUGAUAGAGGAUACUUUGGCCAACUCUGUAUAACAGGGUGUGUUCCAGGAAAGUAUG